Molecule: ribosomal RNA, 277 nt
Filed under: uncultured bacterium
Lineage: Bacteria
Description: partial 16S ribosomal RNA
Rfam family: Bacterial small subunit ribosomal RNA
Source: RNAcentral
AACGAACGCUGGCGGCAUGCCUAAUACAUGCAAGUCGAACGGGCUCGUGGGCUUGCUCACGAGCGAGUGGCGGACGGGUGAGUAACGCGUGGGAACCUGCCCAGCAGUGGGGAAUAACCGCGGGAAACUGCGGCUAAUACCGCAUACGCCCCUGGACUUUGGUCUUGGGGGAAAGAUUGAUCGCUGUUGGAGGGGCCCGCGUCGGAUUAGCUAGUUGGCGGGGUAACGGCCCACCAAGGCUGCGAUCCGUAGCUGGUCUGAGAGGAUGAUCAGCCAC